GGAACUUGCAGAACUAGAACUGAAGCAUGCAAAGGACUUUGCAUAUGCUAGGGUAACCUCCAGCUACUGCAGAACUGCCUUGCGGUUUUAAAUGGAGACACAUAGGCUUCACUCCACCUUCUGUUGAAAAGGGCUGCCUUCAGAUCUGGUUUGUUUUCCUGAGGACCUCCGGCAUCUAAGCUCACUGGGAACAAAAGAAACAGCGGGCACAGUGCAUCGGCUCUUCUGAGAGACCGUGGAGCAGCAGGGCUCACCCUGCCACCUCGCACUCCACCUUCCAAGAAGCCCAAAGUUGAACCCUCUCUUUCUUUAAGUAGCCUGUCUCAACUGUGUUUAUCUCGUAUGUGGCGAUUCUGUGCCUGCAGGCCUUAUUACCUAGGAAUCGCUCGUCCAGUUUUAACAUUCUCAGUACAUUGUUCACGCAAUUUAAAGGUUGCCUUUCUGAUUUUUUUUAAGCAUCCUGUUCCUUAGUUCUUUCAUGUAUUCGUGUAAAGCAUCUUAAUGAGACUUACUUUGAAUUAAUGAACGUAGAAGUUAUGGGUCAGACUUUAUGUAAGCUUUAUACGUAUGAUCUCUGAAGAGAAGCAGAUGCAUUAGUAUGUUUGCCUUAAACUCGUGGACUAAACCAAUAUUGUAAACCGCCGAGACACCAGCGGCAUUUUUACUCCGUGCUCCUUGUAUCGCUCUGGAAUUCGGGGUAGCCAUAAUAAACCUACUCCGCUAGUAU
RNAcentral lists this long non-coding RNA (727 nucleotides) under Rattus norvegicus (Norway rat). Its description in RNAcentral is "long non-coding RNA NONRATT025010". Lineage: Eukaryota; Metazoa; Chordata; Mammalia; Rodentia; Muridae. The record is from RNAcentral.